ACACUCCUGCGGGAGGCAGCAGUGGGGAAUUUUGGACAAUGGGCGAAAGCCUGAUCCAGCAAUGCCGCGUGAGUGAAGAAGGCCUUCGGGUUGUAAAGCUCUUUUGUCAGGGAAGAAACGGUGAAAGCUAAUAUCUUUUGCUAAUGACGGUAACUGAAGAAUAAGCACCGGCUAACUACGUGCCAGCAGCCGCGGUAAUACGUAGGGUGCAAGCGUUAAUCGGAAUUACUGGGCGUAAAGCGUGCGCAGGCGGUUUUGUAAGUCUGAUGUGAAAUCCCCGGGCUCAACCUGGGAAUUGCAUUGGAGACUGCAAGGCUAGAAUCUGGCAGAGGGGGGUAGAAUUCCACGUGUAGCAGUGAAAUGCGUAGAUAUGUGGAGGAACACCGAUGGCGAAGGCAGCCCCCUGGGUCAAGAUUGACGCUCAUGCACGAAAGCGUGGGGAGCAAACAGGAUUAGAUACCCUUGUAGUCCCAUG
This 475-nucleotide ribosomal RNA is filed under the name uncultured organism. Its description in RNAcentral is "partial 16S ribosomal RNA". It matches the Rfam family "Bacterial small subunit ribosomal RNA", at positions 333 to 799 of the family's 1533-position model. The record is from RNAcentral.